GCAGUGUACCCGCGGCAAGACGGAAAGACCCCGUGAACCUUUACUAUAGCUUGACACUGAACAUUGAGCCUUGAUGUGUAGGAUAGGUGGGAGGCUUUGAAGUGUGGACGCCAGUCUGCAUGGAGCCGACCUUGAAAUACCACCCUUUAAUGUUUGAUGUUCUAACGUGGACCCGUAAUCCGGGUUGCGGACAGUGUCUGGUGGGUAGUUUGACUGGGGCGGUCUCCUCCUAAAGAGUAACGGAGGAGCACGAAGGUUGGCUAAUCCUGGUCGGACAUCAGGAGGUUAGUGCAAUGGCAUAAGCCAGCUUGACUGCGAGCGUGACGGCGCGAGCAGGUGCGAAAGCAGGUCAUAGUGAUCCGGUGGUUCUGAAUGGAAGGGCCAUCGCUCAACGGAUAAAAGGUACUCCGGGGAUAACAGGCUGAUACCGCCCAAGAGUUCAUAUCGACGGCGGUGUUUGGCACCUCGAUGUCGGCUCAUCACAUCCUGGGGCUGAAGUAGGUCCCAAGGGUAUGGCUGUUCGCCAUUUAAAGUGGUACGCGAGCUGGGUUUAGAACGUCGUGAGACAGUUCGGUCCCUAUCUGCCGUGGGCGCUGGAGAACUGAGGGGGGCUGCUCCUAGUACGAGAGGACCGGAGUGGACGCAUCACUGGUGUUCGGGUUGUCAUGCCAAUGGCACUGCCCGGUAGCUAAAUGCGGAAGAGAUAAGUGCUGAAAGCAUCUAAGCACGAAACUUGCCCCGAGAUGAGUUCUCCCUGAGACUUAGAGUCUCCUGAAGGAACGUUGAAGACGACGACGUUGAUAGGCCGGGUGUGUAAGCGCAGCGAUGCGUUGAGCUAACCGGUACUAAUGAACCGUGAGGCUUAACCUUACA
This 873-nucleotide ribosomal RNA is filed under the name Salmonella enterica. Its description in RNAcentral is "partial 23S ribosomal RNA". It matches the Rfam family "Bacterial large subunit ribosomal RNA", at positions 2061 to 2925 of the family's 2925-position model. Lineage: Bacteria; Pseudomonadati; Pseudomonadota; Gammaproteobacteria; Enterobacterales; Enterobacteriaceae. RNAcentral also lists the same sequence under 2 other names. The record is from RNAcentral.